This 427-nucleotide long non-coding RNA is filed under the name Manihot esculenta (cassava). Its description in RNAcentral is "long non-coding RNA (MESC_LNC011891)". Lineage: Eukaryota; Viridiplantae; Streptophyta; Magnoliopsida; Malpighiales; Euphorbiaceae. The record is from RNAcentral.
GCAUGAUAUGGUAUGGAAGUCCAGGUUGUACCCAUUCUACGUCCCUGGCACGAUGUAAGAGAAAGUCCAGGUUGUACCCAUUCUACGUCCCUAGCACAUUGGUAUGUUAUGAUAUGUUAUGAUAAGGGAAAGACCGGUUGUACCCAUUCUACGUCCCGGCACAGUUGGACUAUGUAGAGGACUAUUGGUGACAAUACCAUCCGAGAUGUGAUUAGUUGUGAUGUGUUGCAUUACAUAAUGGCAUGAAAUUUUAAAUGUAUGUUUUCACUAUUCUGCUCACUGGGCUUUGUAGCUCACCCCUCUCCCCUAACCCCAGAUGUGCAGGUACAGGGUAGACCAGGAGGUUAGCCAGAGUUUUGAAGUAUGUGUAUGUAAUAGUUAGAUGGUGGACAUGACAGUUGUACUAUAAUGUAAUGUAAGAGAUUAC